GCAUAGCUCAGCUGGAUAGAGUACUCGGCUACGAACCGAGCGGUCGGAGGUUCGAAUCCUCCUGCG
Molecule: transfer RNA, 66 nt
Filed under: Rheinheimera pacifica
Lineage: Bacteria; Pseudomonadati; Pseudomonadota; Gammaproteobacteria; Chromatiales; Chromatiaceae
Description: tRNA_Arg_ACG
Rfam family: tRNA
About the family: Transfer RNA (tRNA) molecules are approximately 80 nucleotides in length. Their secondary structure includes four short double-helical elements and three loops (D, anti-codon, and T loops).
Source: RNAcentral